Molecule: long non-coding RNA, 759 nt
Organism: Branchiostoma floridae (Florida lancelet)
Lineage: Eukaryota; Metazoa; Chordata; Leptocardii; Amphioxiformes; Branchiostomatidae
Exons: 2
Source: RefSeq, a predicted model, not a curated record
AACAGGCUGCCCGUUUAUGAGAAAUGGAGAGACAACAAAUACAGAAGAGCUAGUACAAGGCUGGCGACUUUCCUGUUCAUAGUGGAAUGGUGAACGACUGCUGUACGGUGACACGAGGCCAGAGUUUUCGCGGGUUAUGUCUGACCAGAGACAAUCCAGCCCGUCAGAACCUCCGCUUGGUGUGGAGCCAGACACUAAAACUGGCAUAUUGCAAAGGAAACAAUUACAAGCCACAAGAUCAGCUGGCCGUUCCGCGAUUUAUUCACCAUUGCGACGUUAAAAGAGGAGAUGAUAUUGUCACCUGAUUCGUGGGACAAGACAAAAAGAGAAAUCGCGCAGAAUUUAUUACAAACUGUCACCUUAUCAAAAUCCGUACUACUGCUUCAUCGUUCCCGCCUGUGUACAACCAUAUCUACUGUGUAGACGUGCUGGUGACGUUGCAUUAAUUAUACCCUUGCAAAAACUAACAGUUAAACCUUCCGCUGUCCUGACAUUGAAUGUAAUGAUGUUAUACCUUUGGCACUCUUUGAAUUAUGAAUCGUCAUGUUGUGAGCAAAUUGCUAUGGAAAGAUGCGUGCGACGUUUUCUUGCGACCACGGCCGUUUUUUUUUUCUUGUGAUGUCAGGCCGGUUUUAGAUUGUAGAGGGAAUGGAUUGAACCGGACUUUGUAAAUGUUUGGUAUCACCAAGCUUUUUUAUCUCUACAUGAAGUCUGUAUUAGAUCAGGAUUGGCAUAAAAUACAAUGCGUUUUAAUUUUCA